RNAcentral lists this non-coding RNA (764 nucleotides) under Thereuonema tuberculata. Lineage: Eukaryota; Metazoa; Arthropoda; Chilopoda; Scutigeromorpha; Scutigeridae. The record is from RNAcentral.
UUUUCAUUGUAAAAUUAAUUAGUUUGAUUCUGACUAAAAAUUUCUGUUACAUUGAUUUCAUAUAUAAGUAUUAUUUAGAAAUGUCAUUGAGUAGUGUUGAAUAUUAAAAUAUUAAAGUAAUUUACGGUUAGUUAAAUGUGAUAAGCUUGAUUAAAGACGUGCCAGCAGUCGCGGUUAGACGAUGAAGCUAAAUGAAAUUUUUUAAUUUUAUAAUUAAGUUGUGUUAUAAAUUGUGUUAUAGUAAGAUUAAAUCAAGGUGGAAUUUUUUUAAUUUUUAUAGUAUAAUAUUAAUGGAAUUGAAGUUAUGAAUAUAUUACAUAAACCAGGAUUAGAUACCCUGUUAUUUUUAUAGUAAAGUUAUUAUUUGAGUAGUAGUAGUGGUUCUUGAAACUUAAAGAAUUUGGCGGUAUAUUAACCUAUUUAGAGGAACCUGUCCUGUAAUCGAUAGUCCACGUAAAUUUGACCUAGAUUUGAAAUUCAGCUUGUAUAUCGCUGUCGUAAGAUUAUUUUAUGAGAAAUUUUUCAGUAAUAAAUUUUUAUUUAUGUCAAGUCAAGGUGCAGUAUAUGUCUAGGGUUGAGAUGGGUUACAAUAUAUGAAUGUAAACGAAUAUAGAUUUGUAAAAUUUAUUGAAGGUGGAUUUAAUUGUAAUAUGGAAUUAUUUAUUUUAUAUGGAAAAGUACUAAUAUAUGCACACAUCGCCCGUCACUCUCAUUAUAAUUGAGAAAAGUCGUAACAAAGUAGGUGUAUUGGAAAAUGUGCCUGG